RNA transcript from Pezoporus flaviventris, 3683 nucleotides. It is a transcript of the gene named ankyrin repeat and sterile alpha motif domain-containing protein 1B-like, with no coding region annotated. Lineage: Eukaryota; Metazoa; Chordata; Aves; Psittaciformes; Psittacidae. The transcript is spliced from 19 exons. The record is from RefSeq and is a predicted model, not a curated record.
CUCCACCCAGAAAUGAUCCAGUGAAACUAGGAGGAGGUGAUUCUCCUCCUCCCUCCUGCUGCUGCUCCUGCUGGUCUGGAAGGGACUGCAGGAAUCUGCUCUGAGGCAGGGUCUGGGGAGGGGAGAGCGCUCUGAGGAGAGAGGGGCUGCCGUGGCUCGGGGUGCAGCUCUCCUGGUGCGCGGCGGGGUGCGAGGGGGCUGCUUGGUUCCUGACCAUGGGAAAGGACCAGGAGCUGCUGGAAGCUGCUCGCACUGGGAAUGUGGCUCUGGUGGAGAAACUCCUCUCUGGGAGGAAAGGAGGGAUCCUGGGCAGUGGAUCUGGAGCUAUUCCCUUAUCCAGCUUACUGAGCAUCUGGCGAGGACCAAAUAUAAACUGCACAGACAGUUCAGGUUAUACUGCUUUACAUCAUGCAGCUUUAAAUGGACACAAGGAUAUAGUUCUCAAAUUACUUCAGUAUGAAGCAUCAACUAAUGUGGCAGAUAAUAAAGGUUAUUUUCCUAUUCACUUGGCUGCUUGGAGAGGAGAUGUAGACAUUGUGAAGAUUCUCAUCCAUCAUGGGCCAUCACACUCCAGAGUGAACGAACAGAAUAAUGAAAAUGAAACAGCGCUGCAUUGUGCAGCUCAAUAUGGUCAUUCGGAAGUAGUUGCUGUUCUGUUAGAAGAGCUAACAGACCCUACAAUACGGAACAACAAACUGGAAACACCUCUGGAUCUGGCAGCGCUCUAUGGACGUCUACGUGUUGUAAAAAUGAUCAUCAAAGCAUAUCCAAACCUGAUGAACUGCAAUACAAGAAAACACACCCCUUUGCAUCUUGCUGCACGUAAUGGCCACAAAGCUGUUGUACAGGUGCUUCUCGAGGCUGGGAUGGAUGUCAGCUGCCAAACAGAAAAAGGGAGUGCACUGCAUGAAGCAGCCCUAUUUGGAAAGGUGGAGGUAGUACGCAUUUUGCUUGAAACAGGAAUUGAUACCAACAUAAAGGACAGUUUGGGUAGAACCGUUUUAGAUAUUCUGAAAGAGCAUCCAUCUCAGCAGUCACUCCAAAUUGCGGCUCUUCUUCAAGAAUAUAUGGAAACAGGAAAUGCAAGUAUUUCAGAGGAACGCCCACUGGAAUGCGCAGAACAUCAGUCUUGCAUUUUGUCCCCAGAAGUUCCUCCGUCUCCAAAGGCUAAAAGUGAAGCUGUGACUGGAGAAUUAUCAAAGCUCUUAGAUGAAAUCAAAUUAUGCCAAGAAAAGGAAUACUCUUUUGAAGAUCUGUCUCAUACAAUAUCAGACCAUUAUCUGGACAAUUUUAGUAAAGUAUCAGAGGAAGAACUUAUGACCAGUGGAAGCCAAACCAAGCUUAAUGUACAGAGGCUGCCUUCAACACGUUUAUCACCAAGAGAGGAAGAAGAUGAUGAUGCAGGUGAAAAUACUUGUGGCCCUUCAGGUAUAUGGGAGGCAUUGACACCUUGUAAUGGAUGCAGGAACCUCGGAUUCCCCAUGCUUGCACAGGAAUCUUAUUCAAAGAAGAGAGGUUAUGCAUUAGAAGCAAUACCUUCUGUGCCUCUGGAUGCAGUUCUCUCUGAAAAUGACAGCAAUCUCUGUGAUUCAAUAGACAUAGCAGUGACCAAAAAACCUUGCUCCCUAGAAAUAGCAAGAGUUCCUUCCUCAAGACCAGAUAAUGCACCUCAGGUAGCAAUUACUGCACCAGGAUCUGGUAACCAUAGAAACAGCUCUACAGGCCCAACACCUGACUGCUCUCCUCCAUCACCAGACACUGCACUUGAAAACAUAGUAAAAGUUAUACGUCCUCAGCCCAAGCAGCGCACAUCAAUAGUAUCUUCUCUGGAAUUUCACCGAAUGAAUCACAGCCACAAUUAUUUUGAAAUCAACACAUCCAUUGGCUGUACAAGUUUUAUUUCUACUCCUGCAAUCAGUCCAGCUAAUUAUUCCUUUGGAUCUUUGGAAUGCAGUGUUGAAGAGAAAGAACUUCCAGAGCGUCUUUGCCAGGGAGAAGCAUCCACUGAAAGUGAGCUUCCUGAAGGACACCCCGCUGAACAGUUUGCUGGUUUACUCCAUGGAUCAUCACCUGCGUGUGACCCACCUGAUAAUCCAUUCCAGCUGUACAGCAAAGUAAACCAGUGCAGUGGUCCACUAGAGAAAAGCAUUUUGAGCAAGAGCACAGUUCAGCAGAUACAGCUGCAGAAAGAAAGCAACAUUGAUGCACCCGUUAAGAAAAAAAAGCCACCAAUUGUUAACAGAACCAUAUUUCAUACUAAAACUAAACCAGUAGAAAAUCAUACGUUGGUUGGCACAUCAACCAGGAUAAGUGAACAAUGGGUUAUCUCCACUGGAGGAUUUGUUGAGCGAGCGUGCACGCUUGGGAGAAUACGAUCUUUUCCAAAGACUUUGCUUGAAAUGCAUUUGUGCAAAAAUGUGUCAAAAUCUGAUUCUAAUCUUAUCACCCGUCCACCAAACGACAAAAAAGCAAGAAGCAACUGGAGUGAACCCACACCAAACCAGCAAUGCUCCAAAGAGAAUUCGGAGAGAACACCUUCCUUCACAUCAGAAUGGGAAGAAAUUGAUAAAAUCAUGAGUUCUAUAGAUGCUGGAAUUAAUACUGGACUGGAGGAGAUGAGUGAUCACGCUGCAAGACCCCGAUGCCCUGUCCAGACAGUGGGACAAUGGUUGGAAAAUAUUGGGCUACCUCAGUAUGAAAACCACUUGCUGGCUAAUGGAUUUGACAAUGUGCAAUUUAUGGGAAGCAACGUAAUGGAGGACCAGGAUCUCUUGGAAAUAGGAAUCCUUAACUCUGGGCACAGACAGAGAAUACUCCAAGCAAUCCAGCUUCUCCCAAAGAUGAAGCAGAUUGGUCAUGAUGGCUACAACCCCGCCUCUGUAGCAGAAUGGCUGGAUUCCAUUGAACUGGGUGACUAUACCAAAUCCUUUCUAAUUAAUGGCUAUACAUCGAUGGACCUUGUGAAAAAAAUCUGGGAUAUUGAAUUAAUUAACAGCCUACCAUGUAAUUGAACAGCACCAAAGGACAAUCUCCUGUAUGAUGUGGGGAGGGCAGGUAUUACAGAAAGUAUGCAAAAAAGUCAUCAGGAAAAAAGCACAGCUGUUUGGAAGGGAAAGCACCUCGCUGGACCUGCAGGAGAGCUUACUAUAAGAAGUGAAACAGAGAGCUAUUGAGAGAAACAAAGCCACCAAACAAGAUGUUGCAGUUGAGAGUGAGAAGACAUUACUUACUUGUGGUCAUACAACAACAGAAAGAGGCCAGAGGAGAAGUCAACUGCAUAGCAACUGAACUUUGGAAGAACAGAAGACUGAGGGACCAUGUCUUCCACCUUUUAUUCGAGGAUUCAUAAAAAUAGCCUGAAUUGGAAAAGCCCAGGAGAAUAAGGAAGGGGAAGAGAAUAAACAAGAAUAGGAUUGUGGACCCCUUUGACUUUCCAUAAAGAGUGUAUGCUCAGCAUAUCAAAACAUUACUAAAAACUAAGGGGUCAAUAGCAAAAAAAAAAGUACUGCAGAAGAAAGUAAGAUAGAAAGAGCAAAUUAUCUCCUAGGAUUGGCUUUUUGAAGAAUGACAUUUAGCAAAAUGCUUGGCCAAGUUGUGAAUUUUCUUGUAUUGCCAAUGUCCCUGGUCAAGUGUGCUUUUUAUCAAAUUUGAAUUUGCAGAGAAGUGGAGCACUUCUGUUCACU